AACAGCUGAAAGAUCCGGGGAGAUGGCAAUGGUGGCAAUGGUGUAACUUCACAGGCUCCUCUUUCUAUCAUUUUUUUCUCCUCAUAUACUUCAACUAGAACUGGAUUUAACUACCUCUUCAUAUGGGGUUAAAAUCGGUUCCCCAUGUCUCCCUCCCCACAAACGAAGUGGAGCAACUCCAGUGGCCGUGUGAUGAGGUGGAAGAAGAAGAAGAAGAAGAAGAAGAAGAAGAAGAAGAAGAAGAAGAAGAAGAAGAAGAAGAAGAAGAAGAGCAGCAGCAGCAGCAACAAUAACAACAACAACAACAACAACAACAACUUUAUUAUUGCAUCCUGCCACCAUCUCCCCUAAGGGAAUCAGGACAGUUUACACAAGGCACAAGGUGCCUAAAAGCAUGACAUGACAUAAAACACAAUAUAAAAUACAAUUGAAUAAAACACGUAACAACAGCAUAAAA
Anolis carolinensis (green anole) is the source of this 457-nucleotide long non-coding RNA. RefSeq lists it as uncharacterized. Lineage: Eukaryota; Metazoa; Chordata; Lepidosauria; Squamata; Anolidae. The transcript is spliced from 2 exons. The record is from RefSeq and is a predicted model, not a curated record.